RNAcentral lists this ribosomal RNA (452 nucleotides) under uncultured bacterium. RNAcentral's name for it is "bacterial SSU rRNA". It matches the Rfam family "Bacterial small subunit ribosomal RNA", at positions 29 to 526 of the family's 1533-position model. The record is from RNAcentral.
AACGAACGCUGGCGGCAUGCCUAACACAUGCAAGUCGAACGAAGGCUUCGGCCUUAGUGGCGCACGGGUGCGUAACGCGUGGGAAUCUGCCUUGGGGUACGGAAUAACUCAGAGAAAUUUGAGCUAAUACCGUAUGAUGUCUUCGGACCAAAGAUUUAUCGCCCUGAGAUGAGCCCGCGUUGGAUUAGCUAGUUGGUGGGGUAAAGGCCUACCAAGGCGACGAUCCAUAGCUGGUCUGAGAGGAUGAUCAGCCACACUGGGACUGAGACACGGCCCAGACUCCUACGGGAGGCAGCAGUGGGGAAUAUUGGACAAUGGGCGCAAGCCUGAUCCAGCAAUGCCGCGUGAGUGAUGAAGGCCUUAGGGUUGUAAAGCUCUUUUACCCGGGAAGAUAAUGACUGUACCGGGAGAAUAAGCCCCGGCUAACUCCGUGCCAGCCGCCGCCGUAACAC